CAAUUUACAGCAGGGAAACUGAGGUUCGGGUGUAAAAAUGUGCUGGGACCUGUAAGUUAGAGCACUGGAGGGAGCUUAAAUCAGGCCCUUGGACUAAAGUCUCGAGCCUUUCACCAAGGCAGUUGCACUGGGUACUUCAGAGGAGCCCGUAGUGUACAAAUUUCAACAAUGGCUGUCUGAUACAUGAAUGAAUGAAUUUGCUCCUCAAACAAGGGAAUGAGUGUCUGCCAUGGGUGAGGCACGGUUUGGGCUCCCGGGAUGUAGCUGUGAGCAGGGCAGGUGGAGUCCUUGCCCAGUGGGUUUACAUUCUGGAGAAGACAGUAGUAAAGAAGGGGAAAGCAGGAUCAUUUCAAAUCGUGUGAUGCUGUGGAGACAGAGUGUGCAGUGAGUGGGACUGAGAUCAGAUCUGGAAGUUUAUUGUAAUCUAUCAUCUCACAAUUCUAUAGAUGGGGUCCAGAUUCUGGCAACAGAGUGUUUGGGGCAGGUGGUGAAAUCUGCCUUUCUCCAAAGACGCCCUUGACCUCCAGAACGAAUGAGCCUUGCCAUGCAUCCAAGGGCUAGAUCUGUUCAUUUGGACCGGGUCACUGAUUGAACCAGGAGACUCAGAGUACGUGAUAAAAUUGGUCUUGUGCUUUUUUUUCACACUCAAAAAUUGAACAGAAAUGUGGAAGCCACCUACCUGGUCACCACAGAAAGCCAGUAAGCUGGUGUCUGAAGAAGUUACCCAAGUUUCAGGCCCUGAUUAAUUUUAUUGCUAUUUAUAUUAGAGUACGGUUACCCUAGCAACUGCUAGUGGGUGACUGUGGUGCCUGCUUCUGCAGCCUCAGCUCUGAGAGCCCGCACAGCAGGUGUCAGAAGGGCAGGCAAAGCACAACCCUCCUAAGAGCCCAGAGCAGAAGAGCGUGGGGCCCCUUGCAGACCUGUGGUCCAGAUGGUGGGCAGUAUCCCACAACCCUCCUCCAGCUCAGCAAGCUCCUUGGUGGCUCAGCUGUCUGUCACUGUGUUUCUCCCCCGACCCUUCUCCCUCCCCACCCUGCUCACCCAUCUCCCUCUGACACUGCUGGUCCUGCCUUUGCACCCACUCCUCACUGUCGCGACUCUCCCAGCCCUGUGCCAGGUCAGGGCCUCCUCUCUGUGGUCACUGACUGUCAGCCACCAACCCCCCUCACUGGACCCCAGGCUCCUUAGAAGCAGGGCUGUGUGUCUCUGGGUCACUGCCUGCUGAUCCCCAGCCACUUCUGUUUCUUUUAAUCACCUUUUUAAAUGCCACUAUUACAUACAGUAUUUGAUAUGCCUUAGUUUCAACAUUUCCUAGAUUUAAUUAGACUUAACUCUUGAGAAAAUAUAUCUGUUUUUCCAGUGACUUCCAUUGUAGCUGGAAAACUGAUUCCACCUAAAAAGCUGACAGGAGGAAAACUUUGAGGAGAUAAUUAACUUAGAAGUCAGGCCUCAUAUACGGGGGGAGUGAGGAACCCAAAACCACUGUCAGACCUCAGCGUUGACUUCUCUCCCAUUACCCUUCUCAUUCAGCUUUAUCCUCUCUUCCCUCCUUUAGACCUUCAGACUGCAGCAAUGUUCCCAGUGCAAAAAAAUACACACACUGCCAUUAUAAUAAUACUAAGACAUUUUCUCUUUUCUGACUAUAUUUACAUCUGUCACAUUAGUGGAAACUUCAGUAACACAUGUUCAAAAUAUUAACCCUGAUGCCAAAACCUGACAAAGACAUUACAAGAAAAAUAUUAUAAACCAUACCUUACAUGAAUAUAGAUGC
RNAcentral lists this long non-coding RNA (1771 nucleotides) under Phocoena sinus (vaquita). RNAcentral describes it as "lncRNA (ENSPSNG00000009019.1)". Lineage: Eukaryota; Metazoa; Chordata; Mammalia; Artiodactyla; Phocoenidae. The record is from RNAcentral.